This 401-nucleotide ribosomal RNA is filed under the name uncultured bacterium. RNAcentral's name for it is "partial 16S ribosomal RNA". It matches the Rfam family "Archaeal small subunit ribosomal RNA", at positions 473 to 873 of the family's 1478-position model. The record is from RNAcentral.
ACACCGGCAGCCCAAGUGGUGGCCAUUUUUAUUGGGCCUAAAGCGUUCGUAGCCGGCCUGAUAAGUCUCUGGUGAAAUCCCGCAGCUUAACUGUGGGAAUUGCUGGAGAUACUAUCAGGCUUGAGGUCGGGAGAGGUUAGAGGUACUCCCAGGGUAGGGGUGAAAUCCUAUAAUCCUGGGAGGACCACCUGUGGCGAAGGCGUCUAACGGGAACGAACCUGACGGUGAGUAACGAAAGCCAGGGGCGCGAACCGGAUUAGAUACCCUGGUAGUCCUGGCCGUAAACGAUGUGGACUUGGUGUUGGGAUGGCCUCGAGCUGCCCCAGUGCCGAAGGGAAGCUGUUAAGUCCACCGCCUGGGAAGUACGGUCGCAAGACUGAAACUUAAAUGAAUUGACGGGG